GACAACGUGUUCGGGCUUUUUCCCACGGUGCGGAAGUGAUUUUUCGCUCUCUGCGAUGGAUCUUGAUUGUUCUUUGGGUUUACACUACGUUUAUGAGCUGUAAUUUGUUGAUGGUCUGCAGCUUAUCUUUUGAAGUUAGGAAAAACAUGAAUUCUCGGGCAAGAACAAACAACUCCGGAGGCGCCGCCUUAGAAGAUGUAACACUGACUGCCAAGGUUUGCAGUUUCACUCCUGAGCCAGUAGAAGACCAAACCACCAGAAGGAAGAAACUCUAUAACACAUCCGAACGUCAGAGGGAAUGAACUCUGGCUACACCGCAUCUAACGAUUGUAACACUCAUCCGGAGGACUUGUGGCUUUCUUGAAAUCAGUGAGAUCAAGAACCCGCCAAUUCCGGACACAAUGUUUUACGAAUUGUGUGUUAGUAGGAGUUGCUCCUUACAACUGCUAUUUCACAAACAUUUAUUCCUUGAUAUAACCUGCCACCACUAGAAUUGCAGUCACUGAUUCACCAAAAAUAAAUCAAUCAUGUCGUUUUUGCUGAUCUUAACUUGAGGUGCAGCUCAUAUUUUUUUCAAUAUUUAGUGUUAGAAGUGUUUGGAGUCCUUAUUUAGAAAUUUGGUGUUUUUGUGAUCAGACAUUUGCCAAGAAAAUUAACUCUUAAAUCAAUUAGUCUAGUCUAUGGUAGAAUUAGUUUUAUUUUGCUUAAAGUAAUAGUUUCCAAAAACCAACUGACAAUAAGUGAGGACUUCCUAUAUUUUUAUGCUUAGGUUUGAUGAAGUGGAUAGUCCCAUAGCAGUAUAAUUGGAUAAAAGGGGGUAUGAUCUAAUGGUUAUAAACUGGGGUGAACUUAGCAAAGCCUGUUUAUUCAGGUUCUCUUUGGCAUCUCUGUGUCUUCGUUUAUUUCCUCCAAGUACAUUUUCUCCCCUCUGAAUUGACGGUCUUAUCACCUACUUUAAUUGGAAGAUCAGGUAGCUUUCAUGGCCCGCUUCACGGAACAAGGGCCCAGAGAAAAACGUUUCUGCUUCUGCUGUUUUCUCAAAUGCCGAGGUGUCGUAUUUUGGGAGUAGUGUGACCUGAACCCAGUCAAAAGACGUCCGAGUCUUUCUAAUCUCUGGGUCAUAGGGUCGCCUUUGGCCUAUGCAUUGUACGUAUACAGUAUGGCAUUUCGCAUGUCUGUCCACUUCUAGGCGCACAGUCCAACUGGCUUUGACUGGUCAGGAAGGCCAGGCCUGGAUCUGGGGUUGGUACUAUAGGUUAGAUGUUUUCAGGUUUUGAAGGAGAAACAGGUCCCUUAAGGAUGAGAGCGAAUCAGAAGAAGACAGACAAAAAAGGAUUUAGGAUUUGUUCCAGAAGCUCAUUUCUGGAUUGACUGUCGUACCAAGGUUUGGCGAACGGCGGCAAGCGCUUGCCAGUUUGUCGAAGAGUGGAGAGGUCAGUUGUGCCAAGGAGUGGAGAGGUCUAAGAACUCUCCAGGAGCACGGAGGGUUUAUGCAGUCAUAAAUCGCCUUGCUUCUGCAUACUUUUUAUUCCGUGGAGGAUUCCGCCCGGGCGAUGGCGCCAUAAAUGCAGGAAAACAAGCUCCGUUUUGCUUUCAAUAUUGAUGCAUUUCUGCUCUAAGGCUUUGACACCACCCUGGGUGGCUGUGUCAAGAGAUGAAAGACAAAAUGAAAGAGGCCGCGGAAGCACAGACUGGCAGAAUUCCAAAACCCGAAAAACAAGCAAGGCACCAAAUUAACAAGCCCAAUCACAUUGGUUACAUUUCCCAGUAUUAUCGAAGAUCAAGCAAGAAAGAAAAAGACAGAAAACAAAUGCGAAACCACAGCUUCCUUGGCUCUUUUUGCCCAUAUGCCGAAGAGCCGAGCAUUGCCGCCAAGCAUUGGCACCGGC
Molecule: long non-coding RNA, 1889 nt
Filed under: Homo sapiens (human)
Lineage: Eukaryota; Metazoa; Chordata; Mammalia; Primates; Hominidae
Description: non-protein coding LINC01623:7
Source: RNAcentral